RNAcentral lists this ribosomal RNA (200 nucleotides) under uncultured prokaryote. RNAcentral's name for it is "partial 16S ribosomal RNA". It matches the Rfam family "Bacterial small subunit ribosomal RNA", at positions 1182 to 1382 of the family's 1533-position model. The record is from RNAcentral.
ACGUCAAGUCCUCAUGGCCCUUAUGGGCGGGGCUACACACGUGCUACAAUGGUGGUGACAAAGAGAAGCAAGCAGGCGACUGUGAGCAAAUCUCAAAAAGCCAUCUCAGUUCAGAUUGCACUCUGCAACUCGAGUGCAUGAAGUUGGAAUCGCUAGUAAUCGCGGAUCAGCAUGCCGCGGUGAAUACGUUCUCGGGUCUU